Amphiprion ocellaris (clown anemonefish) is the source of this 439-nucleotide long non-coding RNA. Lineage: Eukaryota; Metazoa; Chordata; Actinopteri; Pomacentridae. The record is from Ensembl.
UGCGCAGUAAGAGACUGAUUUGCUUGGAAAAACCGAGGGAGCCAGAAGGAAAGAAGACAGGAGGAAAGAGAUGUAUCCAAGUCCAGGUGUGAGGUUCCAGUGCAGCCAAUGCCAGACAGUUUCCCUCCAGGGAGGAGCCAGAAGAAGCUUCUGCAGCGACUGGUACAAAUUUCAUCCCUGAGUGAAAGUAGCAGUUCCUCCUGAAGGUCAGAGAUCGCAGCAUCUGAGGGCCUCUUCAAAAGAAGACGUAGUUGAUGAAGGCGUUCUGGAGCAGGACCAGAAAGACCACGACCAAGCAGCCUUGAGAUCUUAGGCAGCGUCUCCCUCAGACCAAAGAACUACAGACUCUUCACAACCUGCUCAAACUCUUGGUACAGGACCUCACCACACGGGUCAAGAAGGUUUCCGUCUCAUUUCUACUCUGAAGCUCACCUUCUCC